AGAGUUUGAUCCUGGCUCAGGACGAACGCUGGCGGCGUGCCUAACACAUGCAAGUCGAACGAGGUCCAUCUGGUGGCAACACCAGUGAAGACCGAGUGGCGAACGGGUGAGUAUCACGUGAGCAACCUACCCCGAAGACCGGGACAACACCGGGAAACCGGUGCUAAUACCGGAUGCCCCCACCGGGCCGCAUGACCUGGUGGGGAAAUGGAUUCCGCUUCGGGAGGGGCUCGCGGCCUAUCAGCUAGUUGGUGGGGUAACGGCCUACCAAGGCACCGACGGGUAGCUGGUCUGAGAGGACGAUCAGCCACACUGGGACUGAGACACGGCCCAGACUCCUACGGGAGGCAGCAGUGGGGAAUCUUGCGCAAUGGGCGAAAGCCUGACGCAGCAACGCCGCGUGAGGGACGAAGGCCUUCUGGGUUGUAACCCUCUUUCAGCAGGGACGAUUGUGACGGUACCUGCAGAAGAAGCCCCGGCCAACUACGUGCCAGCAGCCGCGGGUAAUACGUAGGGGGGCGAGCGUUGUCCGGAUUUAUUGGGCGUAAAGAGCUCGUAGGCGGCUUGGGCAAGUCGGGUGUGAAAUCUCCAGGCUCAACCCUGGAGUCGCCACUCGAUACUGCCAUAGCUAGAGUCCGGUAGGGGAGCGCGGAAUUCCUGGUGUAGCGGUGAAAUGCGCAGAUAUCAGGAGGAACACCAGCGGCGAAGGCGGCGCUCUGGGCCGGAACUGACGCUGUGGAGCGAAAGCGUGGGGAGCGAACAGGAUUAGAUACCCUGGUAGUCCACGCCGUAAACGUUGGGCACUAGGUGUGGGGCCUUAUCGACGGGUUCCGUGCCGUAGCUAACGCAUUAAGUGCCCUGCCUGGGGAGUACGGCCGCAAGGCUAAAACUCAAAGGAAUUGACGGGGGCCCGCACAAGCGG
This 922-nucleotide ribosomal RNA is filed under the name uncultured bacterium. Its description in RNAcentral is "bacterial SSU rRNA". It matches the Rfam family "Bacterial small subunit ribosomal RNA", at positions 8 to 932 of the family's 1533-position model. The record is from RNAcentral.